AUAUCUCUCUGUACGGGAAGGAUGAGAAGCUUCGACUAAGGUUCGAUUCGAGCGAAAGCGAGAAAGCGUUGCCGUAGGCAACGACCCGAAGGGCGAAGCGCGCAGCGCUGAGUAAUCCUUCCCCCGUCAUCC
This 132-nucleotide small RNA is filed under the name Salmonella enterica. RNAcentral describes it as "RtT sRNA". It matches the Rfam family "RtT RNA". From Rfam's summary of the family: This family represents a bacterial cis-regulatory element known as RtT RNA. The exact function of RtT is unknown although it is thought that it may be involved in changing the cellular response in relation to amino acid starvation. The record is from RNAcentral. Lineage: Bacteria; Pseudomonadati; Pseudomonadota; Gammaproteobacteria; Enterobacterales; Enterobacteriaceae. RNAcentral also lists the same sequence under 2 other names.